CGGAGGGAUCAUUACUGAGUUUACGCUCUAUAACCCUUUGUGAACAUACCUAUAACUGUUGCUUCGGCGGGUAGGGUCUCCGCGACCCUCCCGGCCUCCCGCCUCCGGGCGGGUCGGCGCCCGCCGGAGGAUAACCAAACUCUGAUUUAACGACGUUUCUUCUGAGUGGUACAAGCAAAUAAUCAAAACUUUUAACAACGGAUCUCUUGGUUCUGGCAUCGAUGAAGAACGCAGCGAAAUGCGAUAAGUAAUGUGAAUUGCAGAAUUCAGUGAAUCAUCGAAUCUUUGAACGCACAUUGCGCCCGCCAGCAUUCUGGCGGGCAUGCCUGUUCGAGCGUCAUUUCAACCCUCAAGCUCUGCUUGGUGUUGGGGCCCUACAGCUGAUGUAGGCCCUCAAAGGUAGUGGCGGACCCUCCCGGAGCCUCCUUUGCGUAGUAACUUUACGUCUCGCACUGGGAUCCGGAGGGACUCUUGCCGUAAAACCCCCCAAUUUUCCAAAGGUUGACCUCGGAUCANGUANNGAAUACCCGCUGAACUUAAUCAUAUCAAU
RNAcentral lists this ribosomal RNA (550 nucleotides) under Colletotrichum sp. BDS-2011. Its description in RNAcentral is "eukaryotic LSU rRNA". The stretch from base 187 to 340 matches the Rfam family "5.8S ribosomal RNA". The record is from RNAcentral. Lineage: Eukaryota; Fungi; Ascomycota; Sordariomycetes; Glomerellales; Glomerellaceae.